CUCUCCAUCCCCUUGAGGUUGGGCAUAGAUGUGUGACAUGCUUUGGUCAAAGCAUUGUGAAGAAAUACACAGGUAUAGUCCUUCCUGAAAUCAGAAAGAUGGGAAAGAAGACUUCUCAUGGACCCUUUCAGUCCCAGCAUUCUACGUUUUUACAAGUGUGAAAUGCAGAUCUAGCUGCACUAGCCCUCUGCAGAUGGAAAGCACACUAAUGAACUAAGCCAGAGAAGGACCUCAGGGCAGGAGGAGAUCAGAAGUCAGUGAAGCAUCAGUGAACUCCAGGAAAGCUAGUGUCACAUGGGAAUCACCUUCCUUCUCCUCAAGUACAUUUACAUUAAGAUUAUGUUUUUCGGACUUUCCUGGUGCAGUGGUUAAGAAUCCGCCUGCCAAUACAGGGGACACGGGUUCAAUCCCUAGUCAGGGAAGAUCCCACAUGCCUUGGGGCAACUAAGCCCGUGCACCACAACUACUGAGCCUGCGCUCUAGAGCCCACGAGCCACAACUACUGAGCCUGCAUGCCACAGCUACUGAAGCCCGUGUGUCUACCGUGCGUCUAGAGCCCGUGCUCCGCAACAAGAGAAGUCACCGCACUGAGAAGCUGGCGCACUGCAGCGAAGAGUAGCCCCCGCUCGCCACAACUAGAGAAAGCCUGCGCACAGCAAC
Long non-coding RNA from Balaenoptera ricei (Rice's whale), 660 nucleotides. RefSeq lists it as uncharacterized. NCBI's taxonomy places the organism in Eukaryota, Metazoa, Chordata, Mammalia, Artiodactyla, Balaenopteridae. The record is from RefSeq and is a predicted model, not a curated record. The transcript is spliced from 3 exons.